Molecule: ribosomal RNA, 422 nt
Filed under: uncultured bacterium
Lineage: Bacteria
Description: bacterial SSU rRNA
Rfam family: Bacterial small subunit ribosomal RNA
Source: RNAcentral
GCAGAUACCUUACCAGCCCUUGACAUCCCGAUCGCGGAUACGAGAGAUCGUAUCCUUCAGUUCGGCUGGAUCGGAGACAGGUGCUGCAUGGCUGUCGUCAGCUCGUGUCGUGAGAUGUUGGGUUAAGUCCCGCAACGAGCGCAACCCUCGCCCUUAGUUGCCAGCAUUUAGUUGGGCACUCUAAGGGGACUGCCGGUGAUAAGCCGAGAGGAAGGUGGGGAUGACGUCAAGUCCUCAUGGCCCUUACGGGCUGGGCUACACACGUGCUACAGAUGGUGGUGACAGUGGGCAGCGAGACCGCGAGGUCGAGCUAAUCUCCAAAAGCCAUCUCAGUUCGGAUUGCACUCUGCAACUCGAGUGCAUGAAGUUGGAAUCGCUAGUAAUCGCAGAUCAGCAUGCUGCGGUGACAUACGUUCCCGGGC